GAAUCGCUAGUAAUCGUGGAUCAGCAUGCCGCGGUGAAUACGUUCCCGGGCCUUGUACACACCGCCCGUCACACCACGAGAGUUGGCAACACCCGAAGUCGGUGAGGUAACCUUUUUGGAGCCAGCCGCCGAAGGUGGGGCCAAUGAUUGGGGUGAAGUCGUAACAAGGUAGCCGUAUCGGAAGGUGCGGCUGGAUCACCUC
RNAcentral lists this ribosomal RNA (202 nucleotides) under Halomonas sp. S8-1. RNAcentral's name for it is "partial 16S ribosomal RNA". It matches the Rfam family "Bacterial small subunit ribosomal RNA", at positions 1329 to 1529 of the family's 1533-position model. Lineage: Bacteria; Pseudomonadati; Pseudomonadota; Gammaproteobacteria; Oceanospirillales; Halomonadaceae. The record is from RNAcentral.